This 1983-nucleotide long non-coding RNA is filed under the name Homo sapiens (human). Its description in RNAcentral is "HSALNT0345634". The record is from RNAcentral. Lineage: Eukaryota; Metazoa; Chordata; Mammalia; Primates; Hominidae.
ACUUGCUCUUGUCUCUCCUGCUCACCUCCACAUAAUUAGCAGGGAAGAUGCCCAGGCGGCCGUGGUGCUCUCCCUCCAGCCAGUUCUUGUCCACCUCCUUGUGGAUGUAGACAAUGUCACCCUUCUGCAGAGUCAGCUCCCUGCAGGUGGGGACGAGGACCGCAGGGAAGGGGCUUCCUCCAUCAGCCAUUUUGUGGGGACUCAGGGACCGGGCGGAACCCAGGUAAGGUGCAUGUGGGUAGCUGGAGCUCCAGGCUGAGGCCGGGCUGCACGGGGCACAGAGACUGAGCCUCCAGCCUGGGGCUCCGCACCCCACCCUGGUCACCCCUAGACCGCUCUGACCCCCCAUCGCCCCCAUCCCUGCCACCUCCUCCCAGGGCGUCUCCCGGGUCCUGGGCUCUCCACAGGAUGUCCUACUUCCCGAGUCGCUGCGCGGGGAAGGGUGAGGCCCGGCAGGGCCCAGCGGGAGUGCCUGGGCCGUGGCGGGGCCGCCCUAACCGCGCUGCGCCCCCGGCGGCCGCGACCCCGGUCCUCUGCUAGGAGUUAGCUGCCCUCGGUGGCGCGGGAACGGCGCCCCGCAGAGAGUGGCGCUGCGGUCCCUCCCGGACACGGCUCUGCGGUUCCUUCCUCCCCCGGCUGGGCCCCGCGAUCGCCCCCGUCCGCCCCGCCCGGCCGCGCCACGUUCCCUCCCGCCCGGCCUGGGACAGCCCCCUUCCUCCUCCCGCGUCUCCCACUCACCCGGCCGGGGGCCGCUGCUCCGGGGCCCGUCGGGGCGCCGGCGAGCUCUGCGCGGGGAAACGGCGCAAUCAGGGCCCGCGACCCCGGGACCCAGCGGCAGCCGAGGCCGCCGCCUCCGGAAAAGUUCGCGGCUCGGGAGGGGAGGAGAGCGGGCGGGACGCGGGGUCCUAGAGGCGCCCGCGCGGCCGAUCCCGGGAGCGGGGCGGGAACUAGGGGAAGGGGCGGGGGUCCCCGAGGCUGGGGCCCGGGGGCCGGACGGGGCGGGCGCCCGGUCGUCGGGCUGACGUGGAGUCCGCUUAGAAAGGCUCCUCGGGGUCACUUGCGAAAGUCGACGCCCUGUAUUUUAUUUAUGGAGGAGCGAGCCCGCCAGCGCCCAGGAGGGCCCGAGGCCGGUGCGCGCCGCUGGAGGCCGGACCUCGGCUGCCCGUCCUCCGCCCAGCCCAGCCGCCGAGGCUCCCGGCUCGCCCCGACCCUGCGGUCGCCGGCGUGCCCCGCGGGUGAACCCUGGGGGCUGGUACCUUGGGGGACGGCAGUCGGGUCUCAAUUGCCCGCAGGUCCUUGUCCAGCUCGGCGCUCAGCUCGGCCAGCUCUCUCUCCAGCAGCACCUGGGGGCGGGGAGAGGCUGGGCAGUGAGGGGCAGCGCACCGUGGGGGUGGGAGGCAGCGGUCAAAGAUCGACUGUGAAAAGCAAGGCCAGCGCACCGGGCCGGCGUAAGGGCAGGCCUCAGCGCACGGGCCGGGCUCCUGCCAGGAGGUGUGGCCCAGGGUGCCAAGAGGGCAUCCCCGCCACGGCCUCUCACCUGCCCAGCACGCCCCGGGAGUGCCUACGCGCUUCCUGAUCCCGCGAUUCCGCAGUCCUGCCAGUUUCUGCCAAGUUGUGUCUCUGUUACAGCACCAAUGGGGUUCCCCAUUUCCUCUCCCAUCUUCUCCCGCCCUCCAAGGCCUGGCUUCACUGUGCCCAUCCAGGUUCCCCCGCCACCCCAGGGACCGGAGCCCCCACCCCCACGCUGCUUCCUGCCAGCCUCUGCUAUGGGUCUUCGCCGAAUCAGGCCCUCGGAGCUUCUCAAGGGUCCAGCUCCACCUCCAAGAAUAUUUCCUGAUAAUCCCAGUGCGCACUGACCACUCCCUUUUCUGCUCCUGCUUUGGCCAACACAUAUUUAUUUAACACAUGUUUACUGAGCGCCUCCUGUAUGCCAGCCACUGUCCUGAGUGCUGGCAUUACAGAAAUAAACCAUGUGGGACUGGA